RNAcentral lists this long non-coding RNA (350 nucleotides) under Nicotiana benthamiana. Its description in RNAcentral is "long non-coding RNA (NBEN_LNC001983)". The record is from RNAcentral. Lineage: Eukaryota; Viridiplantae; Streptophyta; Magnoliopsida; Solanales; Solanaceae.
UUCAGAGAACAACAUACCAAAGUACAGUAGAUACUAGUACGGGAAAUGUACCUAGAAGAAGAAUAUACAUAAUAGACCAAGAAACAGAAAUAGAAAAUGUAAAACCAUCAAGAAAAAGGAUGCCCAUAGAAGAACCUAUAAGAUUACAAGAAGGAGGAAAUAAAGGUUAAAUAUUAAAUAUAGCAGCCCAUGAUCCACAAAUGUGGAACUCAGUAAUAGAUCUAUAGAAAGGAAUAGUAGUAGCAGACUUUAUAAAAACUUAUAAUGAUACAGAUGCAGAAACAAUAUAUAAAUAUAUGGAAACUUUUCUAGGAGAAUCGACAAAAGGUUUAUGGGAAGCUUAUAAAUCC